Non-coding RNA from Homo sapiens (human), 1760 nucleotides. The record is from RefSeq and is a predicted model, not a curated record. Lineage: Eukaryota; Metazoa; Chordata; Mammalia; Primates; Hominidae.
AUAGUCAUGGGAAAUCAGAAUUUAGCCAACUUGAUAUUCUUUUGCAAUACUAUUUGGCCCCAAUCUUGUUUGGAAUCUGGACUUUGCUGCUGAAUGGAAAAGUGGGAUGGAGUUGCAUGGAUCCAGGCUUUUGUGCUGCUGUUCUAAGCAGAGUUGGGCCUGGUUAAUAUGUGAUGUUUUCCUUCGGUGCUGUUUAGCCCCAGUGUUCUUUGGAGUCCGGGGAAGUUUGGCCUUUAAAAAUCAAACUGCCAUGGACACUGCUUUACCCAAAAUUUUGGUUCACAUUCUUCACUGGAUUAACUAUUGGGGCAAACAACGUAUAACCAUGUAAAACCAGUACGCUUGUAUUGGCAUUUCAUGGCUAGAGUUCUAAGUCACAAGCACCUCUUCGGCAAAGCCCACCUCCCUCUCUCGCUUGAUUCCCCGGCCAUCCUUAUCAAAGACCUUCCAGGUGAACAGGCAGCCAUCCUCAGCAGCAGUCAGCAGGAACUGAUCAUCAAAGAAUCUUGCUCUGUUGCCCAGGCUGGAGUGUAGUGGUGCGAUCUCGGCUCACUGAAACCUCCGCCUCCCAGGUUCAAGCGAUUCUCCUGCCUCAGUCUCCCGAGUAGCUGGGACUACAGAAACUUGCAAAAAUAGCACAGAGAGAGUGGACUUCUGGAAUGGCACGUGUGCAUCUAGCUACUUUACUUCUUCAUUACCACUAGGAAUGAACAUGUGGAUUGUCUUCAACCGUCCAUUGCUACAAACACUAUGGCAACAAAAUUCCCUACGGCAGCACCCAAAGGCUUGAAAUUAGCCAUUCCAAGUGUGUCCAAAAAACUAAAGGAAACCAUGAUUAAACAAGUAAAGGUAGAAAUGAUAUGCAUCAAAUAGAGAAGAAUAAAAGGAUCCCAUCAAUAUAGGGAUAGAACUGUAAGAAAAUAGAAAUUCUAGAGUUAAAAACUACAAUAACUGAAAUGAAAAAUCCACUAGAGGUGCUCAAGAAUAGAUCUGAACUGGCAGAAGAAUUAGUGAACUUUAUAGAUCAAAAAAGAUUAGCAAUUUGAAGAACAGAGAGGAAAAAGAAUUAGAAAUUUACAGAGCCUCAGAAAAAUGUGGGACACCAUUAAGCACACCAACUAAUGCAUAAGGUGAAUGCUAGAAGGAGAGGAGAAAGAGAAAGGAACAGAAAAAACAUUUUCAUAAAUAAUUGCUGAAAAUAUUAUAAAUUUAUUGGGAAACACCAGUGUACACAUAUAGGAAGCUCAAUGAACUCCAAGUAGGAAAAACACAAAGAGUUCCACAAACAGACACAUUUUGGCAAAAAUAAUGAAAGCUAAAGAUGAGAAGAAAAUUUUGAAAGCAUCAAUAGAAAAAUGACUGAUCACUUACAAAAGAGUCCCAAUAAGAUUAAUAGCAGAUAUCUCAGCAACAACAACGGAAGCCAGAAGAGAAUGGGAUAACAUGUUCAAAGUGCUUAAAGAAAAAGCUGUCAAACAAAAAUCCUGCAAAGCUAUCUUUUAGAACUAAAGGUGAAAAAAAAUUACCAAAAAAACUGAAAAAAUAUGUUGCUAGCAGAUAUGACUUACAGAAAAUACUAAAGGAAAUCCUUUAGGUUGAAAGCAAGUUACUCCAGAUAGUAAUUCAAAUCCACACAAAACAAAGAGCACUGGUAAAGCCAGUAGACAAGAUUUGACUCUGGAGGUGACGUCUGAGCCAAUAGGUAUUUGGAGUCUGGAGAAAAAGCCAUGCUAAUAAAUUUCUGAACUUGGAAGUCAAAA